RNAcentral lists this ribosomal RNA (237 nucleotides) under uncultured bacterium. RNAcentral describes it as "partial 16S ribosomal RNA". It matches the Rfam family "Bacterial small subunit ribosomal RNA", at positions 1263 to 1500 of the family's 1533-position model. The record is from RNAcentral.
UAGAGCAAAUCUCAAAAAAACAUCUCAGUUCAGACUGCAGGCUGCAACUCGCCUGCACGAAGUCGGAAUUGCUAGUAAUCGUAGGUCAGCAUACUACGGUGAAUACGUUCCCGGGCCUUGUACACACCGCCCGUCAAACCAUGAGAGUUGGCAACACCCGAAGUCGGUAGUCUAACCGCAAGGAGGACGCCGCCGAAGGUGGGGUUGAUGAUUAGGGUUAAGUCGUAACAAGGUACC